RNAcentral lists this long non-coding RNA (2566 nucleotides) under Sus scrofa (pig). Its description in RNAcentral is "lncRNA (ENSSSCG00000062535.1)". The record is from RNAcentral. Lineage: Eukaryota; Metazoa; Chordata; Mammalia; Artiodactyla; Suidae.
AUUGGAACAGCAUGUCUUAACUGAUUUGAAUGUUUUUAAGAUGCUUCCAUCCAGAUUUAAAAACUAUUUUAUGUUUUUUAUGUUCAUUUAUUUUCAACAAUGUUGUACUACCAACAAAUUAGUUUAAAUGUAAAUUUAAUUUAAAUGUAAAGAUAAGCCCAGCUUACCCAUUUUAAUUUUAUGUUACUAGUGCAUAUUCUGCAUGUUGAUAUGUGUUGAUGGCAUUUCUUUCAGUUGAAAUGGUUUGUCAGAGGCAGAGUGAUGUACUUUCCAUGGUAGAGGGUCUGGUGGGAUUUGGUGAAAAGACCGCCAACCAGGGCCUCCCAAGACUUGCUCUGUGGACCAGCAUUGUUCACUACUUAAAUUUACUGUGUGACCUUGGGACCCACUUCUUUGGGUCUCAGUUUUUCCAUCUGUAAAACGAGGAUUUUGCAGUAGAAUGCACCCUCUGGGUGUCUGUUGGGCCUUCAGGUCACCAUCUAAGGGCUGUGUUGCAGCCACUUGAAAAGGGCAACCAUAUGUAGAGCCUUAGAUGAAGCUGAUUUUGUCUUUCACUAAGUCUGGCCUGCCCUGCUUUGUGCAUUGCCCUUCCUUUUUUGGCCAUUUCCUAUAUCCCUGUUAGUUUUUGUCAAAGAAUGGCUGUCAUAAAAUUAACGCCUUGUGACGCUGCCAAGUUUAGGUAGGUCAUAAGGUCCUGAUGAGAAUUGGAUAGAGGGCUUUAGUUAUUUGAAGCUGUUUGAUAGCAUCUUCUCAGGAGAGACUGCUCUUGGGCGUGCAGGUAAUCCAGGGACUCUCUGAGGCUGGGGAGGAGGGUGUCCUAUGUCCUGGCUGCCGGGGCCACCCACGUGAAAUUUUGGCAAGCUUUUCCCAUGUCCCGUCCUCGCUCUUCAGCUCUUGAUCAGACUUGCAGGCCUUGGUCUCUGGAAUAAAAUGAUCAUGAUCAUUUCAUGCUGGCACCAUCACUGUAUUGAGCAGGUGCCCAUGAUUCGCCGCUGUAGUAGCAGGAGUGAUGGCUGUGGGAAUGCGCCUAUAGGAACUUUUUUCUUUUUUUUUCUUUCUGGCAAGCUGUGAUGAGGGGGCAGACAGUAAAGGAAACCUGUCAUAUUUGGCAUUUGUAUGGUACCUUGCUUUUAAGAGACUCACAAAACUCAGCUUUAUUAACCUUUAAGAAAGCAGGUGGAGAGAAGCCAGAGUUGUUAUCAGCACUUAAAAAAAGUGAGAAUAGGAGUUCCCGUCAUGGCAUCAGUGCUAACAAACCUGACUAGUAUCCAUGAGGAUGGGGGUUCGAUCCCUGGCCUCGCUUAAUGGGUCCAGGAUCUGGUGUUGCCAUGGCUGUGGUGUAAGCCGGCAGCUGUAGCUCUUAUUCGACCCCUAGCCUGGGAACUUCCAUAUACCUCAGGUGCAGCCCUAAAAAAAAGAGCGAAACUUCAAACAGCAGAUUGGAGCUGAAAGAGAAGAAGGAUAUGGAGGCUAGAGAGUCGAGCCAUGACAACCUGGCAAGAAGAAGCCUUGAUUGGUUUAAAGGUAUUAGAGGCUGUUGGGUGCAGAUUUACAGGAGAGCUUCUCUUUCCACAUGAUCUUUUUUUCUGUAGUAUUUGCAUCUUACCUCGUCUUCUAAGCACUGAAUAAAUAUUAGGACAGGUAUUAUUUUUAUAACAGGAUAAAAGUCACAACGUGUCAUUUAUUGGUAUAUAAAGUAUGUGGAUUCAUGUGGACAGUGAGGGAAAAAGAACAUGGAAAAAAAGAAUGAUAUGGAAUUAUGGAUUAAGGUAUUUCUUUAUUGUCUGUUAAUGAUUUGGUAGUUGUUAUAAAUGAAGUGACCCAUUCUGUCCAUUGCCUUUUGUGGAAAUCUUGCAACAUUUUGUCUGCCAGGUAGUCGCUGAGGUUUUUGAAGUAUAGCUCUCCUGGAAAGUAUGCUUCAGGAAUGCUUCAAGGAGGAGGCAGAGUGAUUUUGUUUUGUUUUAUUUUGUUUUGUUUUCCUUUCAAGUUGACUGAAAAGAAUGCCCUUUUGGAACUGAGCUAGGAGAAGUAUGGGCUCAGGAGGACGAGGUUGGGGAGAAACAGCAGCGUUCCAGAGGGGGACAUGCUGCUGUUGAAGACGGGAAGGUUGGCAUUACCUGUGGUCUGGAAUUAGCAUUUCUGAAAUCCCUGCCCUGUAAAUCAGAGCUUAGUUUCUACACAAUUUAGAAGUUACUGAGUGUCUCCUGUGUGCAAAUCACAGCGCUGGGGCUGUUGUCUGUUGGAGCGGUUUCCACUAUCCUUAUCCAAGUGAUCAAGAUGACCAUGUAGUGACUAUUUCAUAGAUAUCUUCAAAUUAGAUGUGUCUGGAGUUCCCGUCGUGGCGAAGUGGUUAACGAGUCUGACUAGGAACCAACCAUGAGGUUGCGGGUUCGAUCCCUGGCCUUACUCAGUGAGUUAAGGAUCUGGCAUUGCCUUGAGCUGUGGUGUAGGUUGCAGACAGGGCUCGGAUCUGUUGUGGCUGUGGCUGUGGUGUAGGCAGCUUAGCUCUGAUUGGACUGCUAGCCUGGGAACCUCCAUAUGCCGCAGGUGUGGCCCUAGAAAAGGC